UGGCUAUUAGCUUAACGGCAAAGCGGCUCCCUGUUAAGGAGUAAGAUACAGGUUCGAAUCCUGUAUAGCCAG
RNAcentral lists this transfer RNA (72 nucleotides) under Gordonia phage Forza. It matches the Rfam family "tRNA". Rfam says of the family: Transfer RNA (tRNA) molecules are approximately 80 nucleotides in length. Their secondary structure includes four short double-helical elements and three loops (D, anti-codon, and T loops). Further hydrogen bonds mediate the characteristic L-shaped molecular structure. tRNAs have two regions of fundamental functional importance: the anti-codon, which is responsible for specific mRNA codon recognition, and the 3' end, to which the tRNAs corresponding amino acid is attached (by aminoacyl-tRNA synthetases). tRNAs cope with the degeneracy of the genetic code in two manners: having more than one tRNA (with a specific anti-codon) for a particular amino acid; and 'wobble' base-pairing, i.e. permitting non-standard base-pairing at the 3rd anti-codon position. RNAcentral also lists the same sequence under 1 other name. The record is from Rfam by way of RNAcentral. Lineage: Duplodnaviria; Heunggongvirae; Uroviricota; Caudoviricetes.